RNAcentral lists this ribosomal RNA (465 nucleotides) under uncultured bacterium. RNAcentral's name for it is "partial 16S ribosomal RNA". It matches the Rfam family "Bacterial small subunit ribosomal RNA", at positions 28 to 507 of the family's 1533-position model. The record is from RNAcentral.
GAUGAACGCUGGCGGCGUGCUUAACACAUGCAAGUCGUACGGUAAGGCCCUUUCGGGGGUACACGAGUGGCGAACGGGUGAGUAACACGUGAGUAACCUGCCCACAACUUUGGGAUAACGCUAGGAAACUGGUGCUAAUACUGGAUAUGUGCUCCUGCUGCAUGGUGGGGGUUGGAAAGCUCCGGCGGUUGUGGAUGGACUCGCGGCCUAUCAGCUUGUUGGUGGGGUAGUGGCCUACCAAGGCGGCGACGGGUAGCCGGCCUGAGAGGGUGACCGGCCACAUUGGGACUGAGAUACGGCCCAGACUCCUACGGGAGGCAGCGGUGGGGAAUAUUGCACAAUGGGCGCAAGCCUGAUGCAGCAACGCCGCGUGCGGGAUGACGGCCUUCGGGUUGUAAACCGCUUUCAGCAGGGACGAAGCUUUUUGUGACGGUACCUGCAGAAGAAGCACCGGCUAACUACGUG